GAUGAACGCUGGCGGCGUGCUUAACACAUGCAAGUCGAACGGAAAGGCCGAAGCUUGCUUCGGUACUCGAGUGGCGAACGGGUGAGUAACACGUGGGUGAUCUGCCCUGUACUUCGGGAUAAGCUUGGGAAACUGGGUCUAAUACCGGAUAUGACGAUCUCUUGGAUGGGGUUGUGGAAAGCUUUUGCGGUAUGGGAUGAGCUCGCGGCCUAUCAGCUUGUUGGUGGGGUAAUGGCCUACCAAGGCGUCGACGGGUAGCCGGCCUGAGAGGGUGUACGGCCACAUUGGGACUGAGAUACGGCCCAGACUCCUACGGGAGGCAGCAGUGGGGAAUAUUGCACAAUGGGCGCACGCCUGAUGCAGCGACGCCGCGUGGGGGAUGACGGCCUUCGGGUUGUAAACUCCUUUCGCAAUCGACGAAGCCUUUUGGUGACGGUAGGUUGAGAAGAAGCACCGGCUAACUACGUG
This 468-nucleotide ribosomal RNA is filed under the name uncultured bacterium. RNAcentral's name for it is "partial 16S ribosomal RNA". It matches the Rfam family "Bacterial small subunit ribosomal RNA", at positions 28 to 507 of the family's 1533-position model. The record is from RNAcentral.